RNAcentral lists this ribosomal RNA (417 nucleotides) under uncultured Amphora sp. RNAcentral describes it as "bacterial SSU rRNA". It matches the Rfam family "Bacterial small subunit ribosomal RNA", at positions 356 to 788 of the family's 1533-position model. The record is from RNAcentral. Lineage: Eukaryota; Bacillariophyta; Bacillariophyceae; Surirellales; Surirellaceae.
GGGGAAUUUUCCGCAAUGGGCGAAAGCCUGACGGAGCAAUCUCGCGUGAGGGAUGACUGCCUAUGGGUUGUAAACCUCUUUUUUCAGGGAGGAAUCAAUGACGUGUACCUGAAGAAUAAGCAUCGGCUAACUCCGUGCCAGCAGCCGCGGUAAGACGGAGGAUGCAAGUGUUAUCCGGAAUCACUGGGCGUAAAGCGUCUGUAGGUGGUUUAAUAAGUCAACUGUUAAAUCUUGAAGCUCAACUUCAAAAUCGCAGUCGAAACUAUUAGACUAGAGUAUAGUAGGGGUAAAGGGAAUUUCCAGUGGAGCGGUGAAAUGCGUAGAGAUUGGAAAGAACACCGAUGGCGAAGGCACUUUACUGGGCUAUUACUGACACUCAGAGACGAAAGCUAGGGUAGCAAAAGGAUUAGAUACCCC